RNAcentral lists this ribosomal RNA (513 nucleotides) under uncultured bacterium. Its description in RNAcentral is "partial 16S ribosomal RNA". It matches the Rfam family "Bacterial small subunit ribosomal RNA", at positions 28 to 523 of the family's 1533-position model. The record is from RNAcentral.
GACGAACGCUGGCGGCAUGCCUAAUACAUGCAAGUCGAGCGAACAGAUGAAGUGCUUGCACUUCUGACGUUAGCGGCGAACGGGUGAGUAACACGUAAGGAAUCUACCUAUAAGCGGGGGAUAACAUUCGGAAACGGGUGCUAAUACCGCAUAAUAUCCUCUUCCGCAUGGAAGAAGAUUGAAAGACGGCUCUGCUGUCACUUAUAGAUGACCUUGCGGUGCAUUAGUUAGUUGGUGGGGUAACGGCCUACCAAGACGAUGAUGCAUAGCCGACCUGAGAGGGUGAUCGGCCACAUUGGGGCUGAGACACGGCCCAAACUCCUACGGGAGGCAGCAGUAGGGAAUCUUCCGCAAUGGGCGAAAGCCUGACGGAGCAAUGCCGCGUGAGUGAAGAAGGCCUUCGGGUCGUAAAACUCUGUUAUAAGAGAAGAACAAAUUGUAGAGUAACUGCUACAGUCUUGACGGUAUCUUAUCAGAAAGCCACGGCUAACUACGUGCCAGCCGCCGCGGUAA